This is a long non-coding RNA of Sapajus apella (tufted capuchin), 2219 nucleotides long. RefSeq lists it as uncharacterized. The record is from RefSeq and is a predicted model, not a curated record. The transcript is spliced from 2 exons. Lineage: Eukaryota; Metazoa; Chordata; Mammalia; Primates; Cebidae.
AAAAAAUAAAUAAAUAAUAAAACUUGCAGAUAGGUUCUGAAUGUUUAUUGUAUGCAUCCUCUAUGAUGUAUCAUUUUAUUGGAGAUUAUUGCAUUGUCUACAAAAAUAAGAACUCUGAGGAUGCCAAAAGAUAAACCUUGAAAGAGGACUAGAAGUGAGAUCCUCAAAAAACAAAAAGCUGAGAAGUGUUUUGCAAUUUUUCUUAACCAUUUAUGUAUGGUUAUGUAUUUUAUGUCUAGAAAGUGAAUUUCAGAUCUGAGAGGAAACUUAAAAGUUUCUCAGUCUAGUUCUUUCAUGUUAGUGCCAAGAAAACUGAUCAGAAAGAGAUUACAUGACUUGCCCAAAAUUGAACAGUCCUAAAUCUGGGCCUAGGCAGGCAUCUGAGUGUCUUAAAUUGGAGUUAAAUGUAUUAGCAUCAUGGUAUUAACAUCAUGAUAUUCCAUAUCUCAAAUCCGAUUUUACUUUCAUUACAGUAGUGAAAUAAGUGUGAUUAGUUAUUAUCCCCAUUUCCUUCCCUGGGAGGCACAUUGUUUUAGUAUCAAAAACAGCUAGCUUGUAAGAAUCCUGGGCUAGAAACCUGACCUCAUUUCAAGUUUUACUCUGUUGCACUGAGACCUUGGGUGAGUUACUCAGUUUCUCAGCCUCAGUCCCCUCAUCAGGAAAAUGUGGUGUUAACACUUUCUGUGAAGAAUGAUCAAAGGAGUGGAGAUUAUAGAGAUUAUAAACACACUUGGCACAGAGUAAGUUUAAGAACUGGCAGCUGGUUUUUAUAAAGUUAACGGUCAUAGAAGAGAGGAAAGGGCAGGCUUGGAGUGACUCAGAGUUGGAUUAUAACCUUGGCUUCUUUAAUCACCUAGGACAUAUACUCUCCAACUGUAGCUUCCUUCCCUCUGAGAUGGAAAUUAUAAGCCAUCUUGCAGUGUUUUGAGGAUUGGAGUUAGUGUAUAAAAUGCCUCUUCUGUUGGCUCUCCUUGGAGAUUUGUCGUAUCCUAUUGAUUGUCAUCAAAGGAAAGAAGUGGCAGGAUGAUGGCAUAAGAGGGAAGAACCUUGAGUUUAAUAGUCUGAAAAAGUGGUUACAGGUUAUUGCUGUGCUUUUUUCUCUCUGUGGGUUUCUGAACCCAUCACCUAACCUGAAGCCUCUAACUUCAUCUGCAGAAAUGUUUUGUGCCAGGUGCCUGUAAAGCAGAACUCUUGAGAUAGAAGGAGUGUUGUCUGAGGGGGAAAAAAAAUCGCGAUUAGGAGAGGAGGAACUUGAAUGAGAUUUACAUACCCUCUCUCUUCCAAGGGAGGAGAGAAUGUUUGGUGAUGCCUGCCCACUCCUUCCUGGGCAGACCCCUUGUAGCAUGGAACAUUGGAGAAUUUGCAGUCUGCUAACUGUUUCUGAUUUAGGAGGUUGGUGGGGAGGCCUUUUAAUUUGCAUUUUUAACAAGUUCUGAGGUGAUGCUUCAAAUAUGUCCAGGCAGAAGGGCUGCCUCACAGUGAUUUCUGCCAUACCACAUGGGAAUUGAAUUCACAGGUAUCUCUAACCCUUGAGCCUGAAACCAAAAGACUCAAAAACAAACACUAAGUGGACAAAGAAUAUCUCAGAAUUUCUGUGGAGACCAGUGACACGAGGACCUACGGUCUCUCUCUUCUCAUCUUGGCACUUCAGAAAUCUCCCGAGUCUGGAUAUAGCACUGGGGAAAGGGGUGGGGCCUCCCGUUGAUAAGAUUGUCACUGCAGAUAAAUGGAGCUUUCAAAUUGAAAGAAAGAAGGAGGGCUUCCCGUUGAUAAGAUUAUUGUCACUGUAGGUAAAUGGAGGCUUCAAAUAGAAAUAAGUUUCAGUUACAGAAAAGAAAAUAUCUUUGUUUUACACAUUUGAGUUUGCAGACCUAAUGUUCCUCCUCCUACACUAUCAUCUGUAACCCUAAGGCACUCAACAUUUUAAGCUAACUAUAAGGAUUUUCACUUCACUCACAGAUCCUAAGGUUUUAUUCACUAACGUUUUUAUUUGGUGACGAUAGUUGACAAGAACAAAGCUAUGGAGAACAAACAAAACACAGCUGUGGUGCCUGGCAUUGCCACCUCACUAGAUUGUGAGUUCCUCUGGGACAGGGUCCAUACAUUUCCUUCUUAUCCCUCACUUAGCCAUUAGCAUGCACAGUGCUUGUAUUUAGUAGGUGCUCAAUAAAUGUUUGUGGAAUGAAUGCAUGAUGAACAAAAUCUAUACUGAGGACUCU